UACGUAGGUGGCAAGCGUUGUCCGGAUUUACUGGGCUUAAAGAGUUCGUAGGCGGCGCAGAAAGUAGGGUGUGAAAGCCCUCGGCUCAACCGAGGAAUUGCGCUCUAAACUACUGUGCUUGAGGGACCUAGAGGUGAGCGGAACUGAUGGUGGAGCGGUGAAAUGCGUUGAUAUCAUCAGGAACACCGGAGGCGAAGGCGGCUCACUGGGGGUCUUCUGACGCUGAGGAACGAAAGCCAGGGGAGCGAACGGG
This 253-nucleotide ribosomal RNA is filed under the name uncultured bacterium. RNAcentral describes it as "partial 16S ribosomal RNA". It matches the Rfam family "Bacterial small subunit ribosomal RNA", at positions 524 to 776 of the family's 1533-position model. The record is from RNAcentral.